Molecule: RNA transcript, 2484 nt
Organism: Papaver somniferum (opium poppy)
Lineage: Eukaryota; Viridiplantae; Streptophyta; Magnoliopsida; Ranunculales; Papaveraceae
Gene name: putative F-box protein At5g42430
Exons: 3
Source: RefSeq, a predicted model, not a curated record
UUUGCUACACCAGUCUUGUCCGUAUAGCCUUAUGCUCAUUUGCAUAACUCCAAUUCCACUUAGCUAGCAUUGCCUUGUCGGCAAGUCUAUGAUUCUCACUGCCAAUCCUCUUUACUCCUUAGGCCCGCAUAACCUUUUCAGGAGUAUAUCCCCAUAGAAAUCUCUCACUGGUUUGAUUAUCUUCUUUUCUACUGCCACCUGAGAACUCAUCUUCCGAAGUUAACUAGAGUUGGAAUUAGAAAUGGGGAGCGCGAGGGAGAAUUUGAGGCAUAAUAUUGGCCAUCCAUAGCAAAUCAAUCUGGCCGUCCUUUUUCCACAGAGUUCCUUACCGGAAUAUAGAAGAUGGGUUUCCCUUUCCUAAACUAAAACCUAAGUUUUUUGCUGUGGAUAAGCUUGCUCUGCCUUGUAUAAGUUAUUUUUCCUCUGAUUUAUUUUAUCGGAUCCACGGUUUCAAGCUCACAAUUAUUCUGGAAUUAUGCCCAUGUUCGGUCGUGUAUGAAGAUUUAGCUAACAACCAAAACAGUCUCUUCAACUGGCAAAGACAAGAGCGUGCCAAGAACAGUCUCCAAUGAGAAAAUUUCCACCAAUAGCAUAUUUAUAAUCUCAACCACAAGCGCUCGUUGCACGGUCACCGUCACUAUGUGGGUAAUUUCUUCUUGUUUUUUAAUUGCGUAGUCAAACUACUGGUAAUCAUAGCCUGCAAGAUUUGAAUUCUAGACUUCUCACAACUCAAAGACUUGUGAAGGCGAUGCAAACCGUUGAGCCUUCUGCUCAAAAAGGUUCCCAUGAGGAACUGCUAUCUAUCAAAAUGGAAAUAGUCUUGGGAGAAAAGACUAACAAGAUAAUCAUUGAAUAUUUGCCAAUAGAUUUAGUAACUGAGAUCUUGUGUCAGUUACAUUUAAAGAAUUUGACCGUGUUCAAGUGCGUAUCCAAAUCAUGGAACAAACUUAUUUCUCAUGUCUGUAUUCCAAGAAUUUCAGCAGAUUUUUGCGUCCUAAACUUAUACAGGGGAGACUUGUUUCGACGUUAUGAUGCCCGUUGUUAUUCUGAUAAAAUGCCUGAGCUGAAUUAUCGUGGUCCCAUUACAAAAGAUAGAGAUAACAAAACAUGUUAUCAUGAAAUUGACAGUUGUCAUGGGUUGUCUUUAUAUAUGGCCCAAGAUAUUUGUCGUUAUAUUGUGGUUAGCCGAGCGACAAAUCAGUAUUUUGAUAUACCUGAACCUCUGGAAGAUGUUGAAAGGAUGUUUGCUGCACUAGCCUUUGAUCCUGUCCAAUCCAAUUACUACAAAAUCGUCCUACCUCAUCCUUACUUUGAUUCUCCAAGCUUAGACAUAUUUUCUUCUGAAAUUGGUAAGUGGGUUAGGCACAUAGUACCUGGAGAUUGGGUUAAGCAUCUGUUUGUCGCGGAAUCUGGUUAUUAUAAGGGGAUUAAAUGGGCUAGAAAGACUGUAUACUUGGAUGGGAUGUUAUAUUUGCUGACUUUGGAAAAGCACCUUGUACUAUUUGACCUUAAUUCAUCGGUUGUGUCAGCUCAAGUCAUAGAAGUCCCAUGCCAGACUCGGACUAGCCAAACUGGAGUUAUUGGGCAGUGUAGAGGUGUUCUGUAUUAAGUAAAUUACAACAAAGAUUGUAGAUUGUCAAUGUGGCAGUUUGACUAUCAUAAUACAAGUGGAAGUUUUUGGAUUUUGAAGCAUUGCAUCUGUAUAUAUGACAUGUUGGAUCAGGAUCAAGCUAUCUUGCAUACUCUGAAGUUAAAUCAUCCCCGGCCUUGCCAUCUAUUUGAGCCUUAUGGUAUUCACCCACUUUUGGAUAUAGUCUUCCUUGGGUUAAAAGGAAGGAUAUACAGUUAUCAUCUCGAAAGCCGUAAGUGUGAACUUGUAUGGCGGACAGAAAAUUGCCUCGGUUGGCGCAAUGAUUUUGUUUACUAUUUCUCAUAUAUUUAUGUGAAUGUGAAAGAUUUUCGCAUGGAAGAUCAUGAGUACCUGUCUCUAACAAAGUCAGCAAGGGACCUGAAGUUGGAAAAUGUGUCUGAUGAUUGCACAACAGAUCAACAUGGAGUAAUUCCAAAGGUUUCUGUGUAAUAUUCCCGACCUGCUGUGGCUCGAUCAAGUGUAUGAUUAUUUAUGACAAAAUGCUUGAAAAAUAUAUUUAUUGUAAUCUGUAUGAUUAUUUAUGACAAAAUGCUUGAAAAAUAUAUUUAUCGUAAUCUUGUAUGAUCCCCUGCUUGUAGUAGAAAACAACUUCUAGUAGAUAAUUCUAAUAUCGGGAGUAACUCAAAUCUCAUAUUAGAUGGCUCUACUUCUUUUGUAACAUCGGCUCAUUCCGAGUCCUAGUUUUUACGCAAUAUCUUAUUUACAAUUUUUUUUUUUUUUAAUUGUAUUCUUGUAUUAGUGAGCUGCACUAUCUUUAUGUAUCAUGUAUUCAUGUAUCAUAUCGCUUUGAAGGUCAAGGCGGAAAGGGGAUGUAUCAUAGUUUAAUUUAUUUA